This 252-nucleotide ribosomal RNA is filed under the name uncultured bacterium. RNAcentral's name for it is "partial 16S ribosomal RNA". It matches the Rfam family "Bacterial small subunit ribosomal RNA", at positions 524 to 776 of the family's 1533-position model. The record is from RNAcentral.
UACAGAGGUCCCAAGCGUUGUUCGGAUUCACUGGGCGUAAAGGGUGCGUAGGCGGUCGGGUAAGUCUGGCGUGAAAUCUCCAAGCCUAACUUGGAAACUGCGUUGGAUACGAUCCGGCUCGAGGAAUGGAGGGGAGACUGGAAUACUUGGUGUAGCAGUGAAAUGCGUAGAUAUCAAGUGGAACACCAGUGGCGAAGGCGAGUCUCUGGACAUUUCCUGACGCUGAGGCACGAAAGCCAGGGAGCAAACAGG